AAAAAUUGUUGCAAUUUGCUUACAGCCUGAAGGAACAGCAAUGAGGAGAAGAGCAAACUUGACUGUGCACAUCCCCAUAGCGCCAUCUCAUGGCAACUCUGCAGAGAAGAUGCCUGAGUAGCAGCGGCUAGAGGGGAGGAUGCCCACACUUCAGAUCAACUCUGUUGACCAGGAUGGGAACUCCAACCAGUUGCCAAGGGCAAGUGAAAAGAAACCAGGAGCUGAAAGCAACUCUAACACCUAUGGCACCCAGGUCCCUGGAUUCAUGGUGUCUAUUUAUAGACAGACCUAUUUGUGUGUGUGUUUCUGUCUCUGCAACUUCUACAGAUUGAAACAACUUCUCUCAUGAUUCAAGCAACACACCUAACCUCUCUGGAAACUUGGACAAAUCUCAUCCCUGAAAGGAGGAAGAGAAAGGAAAGUAAGUGACAAUUACUUUGAGAGGAGAGACACUACAUUUUUCUGCAGAUGGAUCAAAGACUGCAAAGAGGAGUGAACUUGACUCAAACCUAGAAGCCCUCAUUCCAUCACUGGCUUACUCUGAUUCUGACCAAGUCCCUUCAUCCAUCUGAACCUCUCUUUCCACCUGUCC
Molecule: long non-coding RNA, 592 nt
Filed under: Capra hircus (goat)
Lineage: Eukaryota; Metazoa; Chordata; Mammalia; Artiodactyla; Bovidae
Description: lncRNA (ENSCHIG00000000611.1)
Source: RNAcentral